UAGGGAAUCUUCCGCAAUGGACGCAAGUCUGACGGAGCAACGCCGCGUGAGUGAAGAAGGAUUUCGGUUCGUAAAACUCUGUUGUUAGAGAAGAACAGCGCAUAGAGUAACUGUUAUGCGUGUGACGGUAUCUAACCAGAAAGCCACGGCUAACUACGUGCCAGCAGCCGCGGUAAUACGUAGGUGGCAAGCGUUGUCCGGAUUUAUUGGGCGUAAAGCGAGCGCAGGCGGUCAAUUAAGUCUGAUGUGAAAGCCCCCGGCUCAACCGGGGAGGGUCAUUGGAAACUGGUUGACUUGAGUGCAGAAGAGGAGAGUGGAAUUCCAUGUGUAGCGGUGAAAUGCGUAGAUAUAUGGAGGAACACCAGUGGCGAAGGCGACUCUCUGGUCUGUAACUGACGCUGAGGCUCGAAAGCGUGGUUAGCAAACAGG
RNAcentral lists this ribosomal RNA (429 nucleotides) under Bacteroidota bacterium. RNAcentral's name for it is "Bacteroidetes bacterium partial 16S ribosomal RNA". It matches the Rfam family "Bacterial small subunit ribosomal RNA", at positions 355 to 776 of the family's 1533-position model. The record is from RNAcentral. Lineage: Bacteria; Pseudomonadati; Bacteroidota.